GCCCUGAAAGUUGAACCGGUCAAAUUCUAAAUUUGAAAAGUGUAUGGUGAUUUCUUUUUGGUUGAAACCAACCGUAAAGGCAAACAAAAUUCAAACAGUGUAAAUGCAGAGGCAGAGCGGCGAAACCAGAGGAGAGAGAAAGAGCAAAUGAAGAAAGACAAAGGAGUUGCAGUUGCUGUUGCGAGUCCCAAGGACAGUGAUGAAGUCGAUGAUAAACCUGAAGAUCCCACUCUUCGCCCCUUUCGAUUCGCAGCUCGUAACGCAUCUUCCAAAUACGAUUUCGUCAAGGUUAAAGUUUGGCUAGGUGACAAUGCUGAUCAUUACUAUGUUCUAUCGAGAUUUUUGCUCAGCAGAAUGCUAACUGUCACCAAGAUUCCUAAUCAUGUUGCUAUCAAGAUUGCUUUGGAACUGAAAAAACUGCUUAUAGACAACAGUCUGCUUGAUGUCUCUCAAAAUGACCUGGAGGCUAAUCUAUUCAAGCUCAUGGAACGUAGGGGCUAUGGUGAAGAAUAUAUAAGCCGUUAUAAGAUGAUGACCAGGUUUCACCAUCAGCGGGUGCCAUUGGUAAUUCUUGUUUGUGGAACUGCUUGUACUGGAAAGUCCACCAUUGCUACACAACUGGCGCAAAGACUAAAUUUACCAAACGUCUUGCAGACAGAUAUGGUCUACGAACUCCUUCGCACAUCAACAGAUGCUCCGUUGACAUCUACUCCUGUGUGGGCGAGGGAAUUUGAUUCUUCUGAGGAGUUCAUCACGGAAUUCUGUAGAGAAUGCAGGAUUGUUCGUAAAGGUUUGGCCGGCGAUCUCAAGAAAGCAAUGAAAGAUGGAAAACCGAUUAUUAUUGAGGGAAUACAUUUAGAUCCUAGCAUUUACUUAAUGGAUGAUGAAAAUAAAUUGUCCAUGAAAACGCAACCGAAAGUUGAAAAGGCAGAGGUUGCAUCUGAUUCAUUAGCAGAUGAUUCUACCUGCCAAAUGCAAAAUCAACCUGCUGAUGAUGUAAAACUUGAUCCUGGAAGUAGAAGCCUUUGUACUGAGAAUACAAGCUCUGAAGAACAUGUAUCUUGCGACCAGACACAUGAUGUCCUACGCAAUCUUGCCUCUGUCAAUAUAGAAGAUGGAGUCUCUGCUGAUAAAGUUGGGACUCUUGAAGAAACGAAGGUAGAUGAAAAUCCUCAACCAAAGAAAGAGAGGUCUGGAGCUGAACCAAUCAUUGUACCUAUAGUCCUUAAAAUGGCUGAAUUUGAUCAUGAGGCUUUACUUGAAGAAUGGAUACCAACUCGUACAUUUACUGAUAACAGCAUUGUGAAGGAUAAGCAUAAGCUAAUGAAGAAUUUGAAAAUCAUUCAAGACUACCUUUGCUCAUUUGAGUCACAGGGUCUAACUGUUGUGAAUAUAUCUGCAACAACGUUCCCCCAAACGUUGGAUUGGCUACACAGCUAUCUUCUUCAGUGCAUUGAACAAGGUAUAUCUUCUGUAUCUACGCCCAAGCAACAAGCCAAGAACUAAUAUGACUGCACGUGGCAAUGGUGAUACCUUGUUUAUUACAAUGAAUGCUAGUCAUGGUCAAACAAUGGCAAAGAAAAGAAGACUACUAAAGAUUUUCACUGAACUUCUGUUUUUCUGCAAUUUGACAAGUUUUAUGGAAAAAUAAGACCCUGUCGAUGGUAACAAUUCAUGCUGGCCUCAGGGAAACAAAUUGUAGAAGAGAAUAAACUAUGAAGGGUUAAUAUUAGCAGCAAGGACGAUUUGAACAUCAAAAAAUGGUGGUUGCUGUACACUUUCUUGUCGUAUACUUGUCUUUUAUUUAUAUAAAAAGAUCCAAAAGGAAAUAAGGGUCUCAGAAUGUAUCAAAACAAUCGAAAUGCUUCAAAUGUUGUGUAAUUGUCUCCAGAACUUCCUCGAGUAUUCUCAUUAGACUUCAGUUCAUUCUGUAGAAUGUAUAAUUGUGUUCAAAACAGUUGUAUCAAUUGUCAUAAUGAGGAGAUGUUAAUUCUAUGCUGAA
RNA transcript from Beta vulgaris subsp. vulgaris (sugar beet), 2002 nucleotides. RefSeq lists it as hypothetical. The transcript has 17 exons. NCBI's taxonomy places the organism in Eukaryota, Viridiplantae, Streptophyta, Magnoliopsida, Caryophyllales, Amaranthaceae. The record is from RefSeq and is a predicted model, not a curated record.